UGCCCACUGAUAAAAAUAUUAAAGGGCUGCAGUAAUUUGACUGUACAAAGGUAGCAUAAUCAUUAGUCAUUUAAUUGGUGGCUUGUAUGAAAGAUUGGAUGAGAUAUAAACUGUCUUAAUAUUAAAUUAUAUAAUUUAAUUUUUUAGUUAAAAAGCUAAAAUAAUUUAAAAAGACGAGAAGACCCUAUAGAGUUUAAUUUUUAAUUUUAAUAGGAUUUAUAUAUAAAUUUAAUAAUUUUUAUUAUUUAAAAAAUUUUAUUGGGGUGAUAAAAAAAUUAAUUAAACUUUUUUUUUUGAUUUAAACAUAAAUAAGUGGGGGGUUGAUCCAAUAUUUUAUUGAUUAUAAGAAAAAAUUACCUUAGGGAUAACAGCGUAAUUUUAAUUUUUAGUUCAUAUAAAAAUUAAAGUUUGCGACCUCGAUGUUGGAUUAAGAUAAAAUUUAAAUGUAGAAGUUUAAAAUUUUGA
RNAcentral lists this ribosomal RNA (465 nucleotides) under Ivela sp. H340. RNAcentral describes it as "partial large subunit ribosomal RNA". Lineage: Eukaryota; Metazoa; Arthropoda; Insecta; Lepidoptera; Erebidae. The record is from RNAcentral.